Echinops telfairi (small Madagascar hedgehog) is the source of this 130-nucleotide small nucleolar RNA. RefSeq annotates it as small nucleolar RNA SNORA30/SNORA37 family. The transcript has a single exon. The record is from RefSeq and is a predicted model, not a curated record. Lineage: Eukaryota; Metazoa; Chordata; Mammalia; Afrosoricida; Tenrecidae.
UAAGCACUUUCACAGGCCCUUCGCCAGGCUGUGGGGCCAGGCUUUGGUAGCUGGAGCGGAAAGAAAAAACUUUGGUUGCAUCCUUGCCCUGGGUCUGUGCCAGUGGCAGCUGUCAAUCAAUGGGAUGAAG